CGGCAAUAGCCUAAAACUCAAAGGACUUGGCGGUGCUUUAUAUCCCUCUAGAGGAGCCUGUUCUAUAAUCGAUAAACCCCGAUAAACCUCACCAAUUCUUGCUAAUACAGUCUAUAUACCGCCAUCUUCAGCAAACCCUAAAAAGGUAUAAAAGUAAGCACAAUCACAAUACAUAAAAACGUUAGGUCAAGGUGUAACCUAUGAAAUGGGAAGAAAUGGGCUACAUUUUCUAUAUCAAGAA
Molecule: ribosomal RNA, 241 nt
Filed under: Syncerus caffer (African buffalo)
Lineage: Eukaryota; Metazoa; Chordata; Mammalia; Artiodactyla; Bovidae
Description: partial 12S ribosomal RNA
Source: RNAcentral